CUACGGGUCGCAGCAGUGGGGAACAUUGCACAAUGGAGGAAACUCUGAUGCAGCAACGCCGCGUGGAGGAUGACACUUUUCGGAGCGUAAACUCCUUUUAUAUAGGAAGAAGAUGACGGUACUAUAUGAAUAAGCGCCGGCUAACUCCGUGCCAGCAGCCGCGGUAAUACGGAGGGCGCAAGCGUUACUCGGAAUCACUGGGCGUAAAGCGCGUGUAGGCGGAUUAAAAAGUCAGAGGUGAAAUCCUAUAGCUUAACUAUAGAACUGCUUCUGAAACUCUUAAUCUAGAAUAUGGGAGAGGUAGAUGGAAUUUCUGGUGUAGGGGUAAAAUCCGUAGAGAUCAGAAGGAAUACCGAUUGCGAAGGCGAUCUACUAGAACAUUAUUGACGCUGAGACGCGAAAGCGUGGGGAGCAAACAGGAUUAGAUACCCCUGUAGUC
This 439-nucleotide ribosomal RNA is filed under the name uncultured bacterium. RNAcentral's name for it is "partial 16S ribosomal RNA". It matches the Rfam family "Bacterial small subunit ribosomal RNA", at positions 339 to 795 of the family's 1533-position model. The record is from RNAcentral.